ACACAUGCAAGUCGAGGGGCAGCAUCAUCAAAGCUUGCUUUGAUGGAUGGCGACCGGCGCACGGGUGAGUAACACGUAUCCAACCUGCCGACAACACUGGGAUAGCCUUUCGAAAGAAAGAUUAAUACCGGAUGGCAUAAUUAUUCCGCAUGGGAUAAUUAUUAAAGAAUUUCGGUUGUCGAUGGGGAUGCGUUCCAUUAGGCAGUUGGCGGGGUAACGGCCCACCAAACCUACGAUGGAUAGGGGUUCUGAGGGGAAGGUCCCCCACAUUGGAACUGAGACACGGUCCAAACUCCUACGGGAGGCAGCAGUGAGGAAUAUUGGUCAAUGGACGAGAGUCUGAACCAGCCAAGUAGCGUGAAGGAUGACUGCCCUAUGGGUUGUAAACUUCUUUUAUACGGGAAUAAAGUUAGCCACGUGUGGCUUUUUGUAUGUACCGUAUGAAUAAGGAUCGGCUAACUCCGUGCCAGCAGCCGCGGUAAUACGGAGGAUCCGAGCGUUAUCCGGAUUUAUUGGGUUUAAAGGGAGCGUAGGCGGGUUGUUAAGUCAGUUGUGAAAGUUUGCGGCUCAACCGUAAAAUUGCAGUUGAUACUGGCGACCUUGAGUGCAACAGAGGUAGGCGGAAUUCGUGGUGUAGCGGUGAAAUGCUUAGAUAUCACGAAGAACUCCGAUUGCGAAGGCAGCUUACUGGAUUGUAACUGACGCUGAUGCUCGAAAGUGUGGGUAUCAAACAGGAUUAGAUGCCCUGGUAGUCCACACAGUAAACGAUGAAUACUCGCUGUUGGCGAUAUACGGUCAGCGGCCAAGCGAA
RNAcentral lists this ribosomal RNA (811 nucleotides) under uncultured bacterium. RNAcentral describes it as "bacterial SSU rRNA". It matches the Rfam family "Bacterial small subunit ribosomal RNA", at positions 51 to 855 of the family's 1533-position model. The record is from RNAcentral.